AUACGUAGGGUGCGAGCGUUGUCCGGAAUUACUGGGCGUAAAGAGCUCGUAGGUGGUUUGUCGCGUCGUCUGUGAAAUUCCGGGGCUUAACUCCGGGCGUGCAGGCGAUACGGGCAUAACUUGAGUACUGUAGGGGAGACUGGAAUUCCUGGUGUAGCGGUGAAAUGCGCAGAUAUCAGGAGGAACACCGGUGGCGAAGGCGGGUCUCUGGGCAGUAACUGACGCUGAGGAGCGAAAGCAUGGGUAGCGAACAGGAUUAGAUACCCUGGUAGUCCAUGCCGUAAACGGUGGGCGCUAGGUGUAGGGGUCUUCCACGACUUCUGUGCCGUAGCUAACGCAUUAAGCGCCCCGCCUGGGGAGUACGGCCGCAAGGCUAAAACUUAAAUGAAUUGACGGG
This 397-nucleotide ribosomal RNA is filed under the name uncultured bacterium. Its description in RNAcentral is "partial 16S ribosomal RNA". It matches the Rfam family "Bacterial small subunit ribosomal RNA", at positions 523 to 917 of the family's 1533-position model. The record is from RNAcentral.